Long non-coding RNA from Amblyraja radiata (thorny skate), 137 nucleotides. RefSeq lists it as uncharacterized. The transcript is spliced from 3 exons. Lineage: Eukaryota; Metazoa; Chordata; Chondrichthyes; Rajiformes; Rajidae. The record is from RefSeq and is a predicted model, not a curated record.
CGUAGUCAGGAUCGAACCCGGGUCUCUGGUGCUGUGAGGCAGAGCUUGCUAACAUUGCGUAAUGGGAAUAACAUGACUUGUGAUGAAAAUGUUGACUUGAAUGUCAGAAUACAGAAGAGUCCAGCACAGGAACAAGC